Molecule: long non-coding RNA, 480 nt
Organism: Quercus robur (English oak)
Lineage: Eukaryota; Viridiplantae; Streptophyta; Magnoliopsida; Fagales; Fagaceae
Exons: 2
Source: RefSeq, a predicted model, not a curated record
GGAGUUGAAGAAGACAAUUCAGACUUCCAGUGGAAUUCUAGUUGGAAACAUCAUUUGAAAAAAGUGAUAAUUUACAAAUUUGUGGCUAAUAAUGAUGUCCAAGAGACUGUGGUAAACUUCUUCCUCGAGAAUGACAUAAAGGUGGAAACAAUAUCUGACCUGAAAGGGGAGAAAUAUUUGUGUUCCAAAAUAAAGCAACAUUAGUUGAAGAAGAGGAGUCAGACUUUCGGUGGCAUUAUUGUUGGAGACACCAUUUGAGAAAAGUGAUAAUUGACAAAUUUGAAGUUAAACUUCUUCGAGAAUGACAUAAUGGUGGAAACAAUUUCUGACCUUUAAUGUAACUUAGGAAAUAUUUGUAGUGAGUUUUCUCUCUAUUUAUUUUGGAAAGAGAAAUGCUGAAUAAUUCUGGUUUUAUAUUCCUCAUGUUAACAAAUAAUAAAAACUGGGUACCAGUUAAUUUAUGAUGACAAUUUAAUUUUC